GUAUACUGUUGGGCUGGAGAGAU
This 23-nucleotide non-coding RNA is filed under the name Cricetulus griseus (Chinese hamster). Lineage: Eukaryota; Metazoa; Chordata; Mammalia; Rodentia; Cricetidae. The record is from RNAcentral.